CAGUAGCCGCGGUAAUACGAACCGUGCGAACGUUAUUCGGAAUCAUUGGGCUUAAAGCGCGUGUAGGCGGAUGGGAACGUCGGUCGCUGAAAUACCCCGGCUCAACCGGGGAACUGGCAUCGAAACGACCCGUCUCGAGGGGCAUAGGGGGAGCUGGAACUUCCGGUGGAGCGGUGAAAUGCGUUGAGAUCGGAAGGAACGCCCGUGGCGAAAGCGAGCUCCUGGAUGUCUUCUGACGCUGAGACGCGAAAGCUAGGGUAGCGAACGGGAUUAGAUACCCGAGUAGUCCCUGUCUCUUAUU
RNAcentral lists this ribosomal RNA (301 nucleotides) under uncultured bacterium. Its description in RNAcentral is "partial 16S ribosomal RNA". It matches the Rfam family "Bacterial small subunit ribosomal RNA", at positions 509 to 808 of the family's 1533-position model. The record is from RNAcentral.